CGUUUUAAAUAUGGGCCUCGUGUCAUCCUGGCAACAGGAACGACCAAAGAAGCCGUCGAGAGAUAUCGGAAGAGUUUCUUUUCUGUUUUAUAGCCGUACUACCAUGGAAGUCUUUCGCAGAGAGAUAUGGUAGAUGGGCUAGAAGAGCAUGAACAUUAUACUGUUGUGUCGAUAUUUUCUCCUCGACCUUGAAAAUUUAUGGUGGGACACGCAAACUUCUCAACAGGCCGUACCAAUAUCCGCAGCUGGUCUCCAAGGUGAAGAGUCUCUAGUCGAUAGAAUAAUGUAGGUAAGGGAAGUCGGCAAAUUAGAUCCGUAACUUCGGGAUAAGGAUUGGCUCUGAAGAUUGAGAUAGUCGGGGCUUGAUUGGGAAACAAUAACAUGGUUUAUGUGCUCGUUCUGGGUAAAUAGAGUUUCUAGCAUUUAUGUUAGUUACUUGUUCCCGGAUAGUUUAGUUACGUAGCCAAUUGUGGAACUUUCUUGCUAAAAUUUUUAAGAAUACUAUUUGGGUUAAACCAAUUAGUUCUUAUUAAUUAUAACGAUUAUCAAUUAACAAUCAAUUCAGAAACUGGCACGGACUUGGGGAAUCCGACUGUCUAAUUAAAACAAAGCAUUGUGAUGGCCCUAGCGGUGUUGACACAAUGUGAUUUCUGCCCAGUGCUCUGAAUGUCAAAGUGAAGAAAUUCAAGUAAGCGCGGGUCAACGGCGGGAGUAACUAUGACUCUCUUAAGGUAGCCAAAUGCCUCGUCAUCUAAUUAGUGACGCGCAUGAAUGGAUUAACGAGAUUCCUACUGUCCCUAUCUACUAUCUAGCGAAACCACAGCCAGGGAAGGGAACGGGCUUGGAAUAAUUAGCGGGGAAAGAAGACCCUUUUGAGCUUGACUCUAAUCUGGCAGUGUAAGGAGACAUAAGAGGUGUAGAAUAAGUGGGAGAUAUUAGACCUCGGUUUGGUAUCGUCAAUGAAAUACCACUACUCUUAUUGUUUCCUUACUUACUUGAUUAAAUGGAACGUGUAUCAUUUCCUAGCCAUUAUACGGAUAUUUAUUAUAUCUUAUGGUAUUGGGUUUUGAUGCAAGCUUCUUGAUCAAAGUAUCACGAGUUUGUUAUAAAUCGCAAACAAAUUCUUUAAUAAAACGAUGCAUUUAUGAUGAUUGAAAAUUUGGUAUAACUCCAAUUACUCAGGUAUGAUCCAAUUCAAGGACAUUGCCAGGUAGGGAGUUGACUGGGGGGGUACAUCUCUCAAAUAAUAACGGAGGUGUCCCAAGGCCAGCUCAGUGCGGACAAAACCACACAUAGAGCAAAAGGGCAAAUGCUGACUUGAUCUCGGUGUUCAGUACACACAGGGACAGCAAAAGCUCGGCCUAUCGAUCCUUUUGGUUUAAAGAGUUUUUAACAAGAGGUGUCAGAAAAGUUACCAUAGGAUAACUGGCUUGUGGCGGCCAAGCGUUCAUAGCGACGUCGCUUUUGAUCCUUCGAUGUCGGCUCUUCCUAUCAUUGUGAAGCAAAAUUCACCAAGCGUUGGAUUGUUCACCCAUGCAAGGGAACGUGAGGCUGGGUUUAGGACCGUCGUGAGACAGGUUAGUUUUACCCUACUAAUGACAAAACGUUGUUGCGACAGCAUUCCUGCGUAGUACGAGAGGAACCGCAGGUACGGACCAAUGGCACAAUACUUGUUCGAGCGAACAGUGGUAUGACGCUACGUCCGUUGGAUUAUGCCUGAACGCCUCUAAGGUCGUAUCCGUGCUGGACUGCAAUGAUAAAUAAGGGCAAUUGCAUUGU
Molecule: ribosomal RNA, 1779 nt
Filed under: Drosophila erecta
Lineage: Eukaryota; Metazoa; Arthropoda; Insecta; Diptera; Drosophilidae
Description: eukaryotic LSU rRNA
Rfam family: Eukaryotic large subunit ribosomal RNA
Source: RNAcentral